GGGGCAUCGUUUCAAAACCUUUUUUUUCUCUUUCUUGUAUUAAAAAAAAAAGAGCCUUAUCUCGUAACUUGGGUUUGGUUUUAUGAAACAAUCAAAAUUCAGUCACAGUUUAAUAAGUGAAUGUCUUAGCUAUUCUUUAAUAAAAUUCAUUAGUGAAAUGAUAGUUGAACUCUUACAUGGCAUGAGACAUACGCAAGCUCAAAGAAAAGCCCAAAAAUCCUCAAAAGGAUCUAUUUGGCCAAG
This 243-nucleotide long non-coding RNA is filed under the name Elaeis guineensis (African oil palm). RNAcentral's name for it is "long non-coding RNA (EGUI_LNC036052)". Lineage: Eukaryota; Viridiplantae; Streptophyta; Magnoliopsida; Arecales; Arecaceae. The record is from RNAcentral.